Long non-coding RNA from Pelmatolapia mariae (spotted tilapia), 412 nucleotides. RefSeq lists it as uncharacterized. NCBI's taxonomy places the organism in Eukaryota, Metazoa, Chordata, Actinopteri, Cichliformes, Cichlidae. The record is from RefSeq and is a predicted model, not a curated record. The transcript has 3 exons.
AUUAGCAGAAAUCAGUCCCAUAGAUGUGGGCCAUCCACCUGCUAGAUUGUUCAGAAGGUUGGUAUCAUCCAUCCAGAUGGAGGAUCACUGACAGGAGCGUGGAAGAUUCCAGAAUCCACUCUGGCUGGAAUCCGGUGGAUACAGCAGUGUUACAGAACAGUUCUCCACAGUCGCUGUCCACAUGGGUCAGUGGGACCAAGCAGCGCUCUGCUAAUGUGAGACUCUGAUCAGCAACAUCCAGCAAGACCCAGGCAGCGUUUUCUAUCUCCCAGCUGGUGUUUUCUGUUUGUGACUGGAGAGUCAGAUCUUUGUUGAAGCUGGAGGAACAGCCUCACACUUGCAGAGGAUAAUACACGCUACUGAUCCCUGAUGGGAGAAUCAUCACCUCUGCCAACAAAGAAGCCUGGUGGAU